Long non-coding RNA from Lethenteron reissneri (Far Eastern brook lamprey), 843 nucleotides. RefSeq lists it as uncharacterized. The record is from RefSeq and is a predicted model, not a curated record. Lineage: Eukaryota; Metazoa; Chordata; Hyperoartia; Petromyzontiformes; Petromyzontidae.
UUUACCUGCUAAGAUUAAAAACAAAUGUCUUUAGUUUCAUUUGUGUAUACGUAUAUUUAUUUGAAAGUGAUUUGUGUAACUUUCCUAUACUUUUCACUCCUGCCGUGUUUUUGUACUGUUUGCUGUUGUAACGUUCUGAGCCUGUGCCCCUACUGGACAUCUGUGAAAAAGAGCUUCAUAGCUCAUCGGAUUCCUCCACAAUGAGUGCAAGAUUUUGAUUCUGAUAGCCCCGUGCCACGCGCCCUGACAGCGUCUCCGCACGGAGGGCCUCUGUCUCUGUGCACCCCCCCCCCCCCAGGUGCGACGCAGCGGAGCGGUGACCUUUGGUGACGUUGCAGCAGCAAUCAUUUGCCUCUCUCCCCGGAAGAACGUCACCCGCACAUCCUCGGCGCUGCGUGCAGCCUGAGCACCACGAUGCAGCAGCAACAGCCGCAGGAGGAACACUACGGCAGGAACAUCAGCAUGGAACAACAGCGGAACGACAGGCACGGGGCGAGAGAGAGAGAGAGAGCACGUGCUCGGCCCCUCGCGGCCCCUCCGCCUCCACGCGUCACGUGACGCCCGCGAUCACAACGCUUCUUGAGACUGGAGUUGCCACCAGUCGGGGCCCCGCGAUGCCACAGCCCGCGCGACUCGUGCACGAUGGCUGCUCUCCGCUCCGGGUUCUCUUCUCCCCGCGAUGUCGCUGUCCGGCACCCGCCCCACGUCCCUUCACCGCCGCUGUUGCCGCCUCGAAUCUGCAUUUGUUACCCGCUCCACGCGAUGCCCUUUCUGUUCCUCCGUUCAAUUUCAUGCGAACGAAAAUAAAAUUCAACGAACAAACAAAGCAGUUGCUAGAGUUGA